GGAGAGGAGGUUAACAGUACAUCUGCCAGAAUUUUAUUGUCACCCCGCAAUCAAAACCCUCGACAAUCUUGCACAAAAAGAGGGAUAGAAAAGGGCAGCACGUUUCAGCAGAAUCCCUGGCUAGAUUAAUUGAAAGCUGAACUUGCUUUCAUGACUUCAUAAACUUGCAUUAUUAGGAAUAAAACUGCAAUGCUAAAACUUUCCACAAGAUGUAGCUGCUGCUCUUUGAAAUAUUGGCUGCACUAGACUGGGCUGUGCUUCAGCCCAUUGCAGUGCUGGACAUCAUUCCUUUCGAGUUGUGCUUCAUGCUAAUAAGAUCAUUGUUUUGAUGGAUUCCUGUUGGAAAGGAUAAAGAGCUAUGAAGUGGUGUAUGCCAACAGAUUGCAGCUUUUUUGCCCCACCACAGUGUCUUGAAGCUUUUGCUGUUCAUCAUGAGCUGAGCAUCUCACCUGUGUCCCUGACUGCAGGGGCUUCAUCUUGAGGAGCAGAGCCCCAUGUCAAGGCCAUGUUAAACUAGUGAGAGCUGGAAUCAGUGAGUGGCCCUGAACUGAACAUAUAUCUGCAAGUCUGAAAAGCUGGUGCAUUAGCCCACCUUGCCACCCCUUUUAUAACAGUGACUGACAAAGCUUGGAAGGAUGUUUAUACAAGAGCCAGCUCUCGUUAUGUGAAUUGAACUUCUGCUCCCCUUUCCUUUUCAAUCUGACAUCAAAACACUUCAGUAGAAUAAAUAUAACAACUAUAUAA
Molecule: long non-coding RNA, 744 nt
Organism: Columba livia (rock pigeon)
Lineage: Eukaryota; Metazoa; Chordata; Aves; Columbiformes; Columbidae
Exons: 2
Source: RefSeq, a predicted model, not a curated record